UACUGGGGGGGCAAGCGUUGUUCGGAAUUACUGGGCGUAAAGGGCUCGUAGGCGGCCAUCUAAGUCGGAUGUGAAAUCCCCAGGCUUAACCUGGGAACUGCAUCCGAUACUGGAUGGCUUGAAUCCGGGAGAGGGAUGCAGAAUUCCAGGUGUAGCGGUGAAAUGCGUAGAUAUCUGGAGGAAUACCGGUGGCGAAGGCGGCAUCCUGGACCGGCAUUGACGCUGAUGAGCGAAAGCUAGGGGAGCAAACGGG
RNAcentral lists this ribosomal RNA (253 nucleotides) under uncultured bacterium. RNAcentral describes it as "partial 16S ribosomal RNA". It matches the Rfam family "Bacterial small subunit ribosomal RNA", at positions 524 to 776 of the family's 1533-position model. The record is from RNAcentral.